AGGCUGUCGGAAGAACAACUCCUCUUCCUGUUGCUAGGUGCUGUCUCCAAUGCUCGCUGUUCCUUAGCUUGUGUCCACCUCCCUGCGAUCUGGGCCUCUGUCCUCACGUGGCUGUUUCCUGUGUGUCUUUGUGUCCAAAUCCACUCUCCUUUCUCCGAUAAGGACACCAGUCAGUGGAUCGGGGGCUCACCUGAAACCCGUCACGAUUUCCAAUCAAGAUCCCUAACUCAUUACAUUUGCAAACACUCUAUCCCCCCAGUAAGGUCCCCUUGUGAGAUUCCUGGUGAUGCAAAUUUGAGGAAGGGGACCCUCGUGGACCCACUGCGGGACAUCCCUUUGGGUCUCUCUGUCGUCCCUGUGAGGCUUUCAUGUUGCAGCGACCCCCAAGGAGCCGAGAAGUGGUGUCCACAGGAGGAACCGACAAAGUGUGCUAUUCUGGGCACAGCCUGGUAUUUACAGAGUGGCAUUGCCCAUGCCCAUGCCCACGGACCACCUGCCCAGAGAGCCCCCGGGACCAGCAAUCUGUGGGGGCGGGAGACAGCCGCACAGAUGAGAACAAAAAUGAAAAACUACAGGAAUGUGUGCUGCCUUGAGGCUCGUCUGCUCCUGAUUAAUUGGGAUGAUGGCGAAAUACAGGGCGUUUUCUUGCUGUCGGCGGGCAUGGUCCUCCCUCGCAAACUUAAUGAGCUGUGCCUGGACGUUGGUCCGGCUUCCCCCUUUAUUCACCCAUGUGUGCUGUUCACCUCCAAGGUUGGAAGACCACUUAGCAACCUCCCUUCCCUGCUGGGCUUCUUUCUGGGAGCUGGGUCCCCGGAUCAGCGGUGCCUGUCCAUCAAAGGCAGGCGGACACAAAAGGCUCGCCCAGGGGGCUGCCUGCCAAGCCCAGGGAGGCCGAUCCAGCACCGAGCUCACAUUCAGAGUAGAUUAUCUCUGCUUUCGGGGACACUGUUCCCUGCCAAAGGAAUGUUUCUAGGACAUCGUGAGGUCUCCCUGCCGGCAGGGAAAACGUAG
RNAcentral lists this long non-coding RNA (1011 nucleotides) under Felis catus (domestic cat). Its description in RNAcentral is "lncRNA (ENSFCAG00000050395.1)". Lineage: Eukaryota; Metazoa; Chordata; Mammalia; Carnivora; Felidae. The record is from RNAcentral.